ACUCCUCACCCAGCAUCCAUAAAAGCAUGCUGCACCUUUGGCACAGCGCGACUUCCCUGGCCCUCCCCCUGCGGACCAGUGAACCUCGCCCGAGGGCUCAAUAAAGAAGAUUUUUGCCCUCUUUUUCUCACCUCUCAGCCUUAUUGAUCCAUGGUGCCCUUCCAUUGCCUUUCAUUGGUGCCGAAACCCGGGAGGGGACACCUCCUAAGCCCCCCCAGAGGCUCAGGGGGACUCCCCUCCUGGUCGGAUCAGUCCUCUCCCUCAGUCAGGUCAGGCUUCUCCUCCACGGCCAUCUGUCCAUUUCGUCCGGUUACUUGCUGCCAGGUCGCAGUUGCUGCAGCUACUCCAGUCCAAUUCGGCCGACGCUAGAUCAACUGAGAUGCAAAACCCAUGUUCACAUCAUGAGUGAGUCUUCUAACUCGGACAAUGCAAUCAACAAAUUCUAAGACCAAAUUCCGGUGGCACUGGCUCCAAAGGCCCCAGGGAAAAUAAACUAAUCAAGACUACUUUAAUUUUUUAAAUAUGAAACCUGCGGAAAAUCAUGAAAAAUAGUAACACAAUUCCACCAUUUUCUACGAAAAAAUACUGAAAGGGUUAUUAACUUGAAUGUCCAAUAGACAGCUGAAUUAGAUAUGAAGUUGCAUAAAGAGAGUAGCCAAAUCAAAAUAUAUAAGUUUUAAAAGGCAAUAUCCAGGACUUCAAACAUGGAAAGAGUUACACGAGAGAAAAGAGGAUUUUGAGAGAUUGCUGCUUCAUUUGCAUGCUCAGCAAAACCUCACGGAGCACUGACGUUUUGAGUCAUCCCUCUAAUCAUCUAGCAUCCAACGCUCCUGAGUGUGGAAGGAGGUGAACAGGGAAAAGCAGAGAGGACAAAAGUCACAUCCCCUCCCCACAGACCCAUACUGGGGAAGGGUGGAAGAUUUAGCUGCGAGUCAAGUUCAGAAUUUUGAUUAACAUCUUGGCAUGCACAUUCGAAUUUCAGAAUCAAGACUGUUGGCCAUAAAAAAUGACUAUAGCCUUGUGUAUUACCUGAACUGAGCAGUAAAAAAAAAGUCAUGGUCCUUCUGGGGCUUUUAUUCUGAGACAGGAACCCUGAACAGGCAGGAGAAAGGGAAUGUUGACAGAGAAACAAAGACAGUUGGCGACACACGCUGACCGCCAUGCGGACGUCCAUCAAACCCAGCACUGGCCCUGGGUACGUGCGCCUUUGCUAUUACCCCAAUACAUUUUCUUCUGCAGAGCAAGCAACAGAACACAUGCAGACCUUAAUAAAUACCACUGGGUAAUGUGACAAUGGCCAAACUCUCCUCACGGGGGAGAGAGUGUCCCCCAGUUUUGCUCCCUUUUAAUUUCCAGGGUUCAUAAGUAGCUCUAAAGCUUUGCUCUACAAGGUUGAUACAUACGAUAUUAAUGUUUCCCCUAAGCAGUAUAACAUAAAUAUAUUUGCUAUCUUGACA
RNAcentral lists this long non-coding RNA (1457 nucleotides) under Homo sapiens (human). Its description in RNAcentral is "long intergenic non-protein coding RNA 1287". The record is from RNAcentral. Lineage: Eukaryota; Metazoa; Chordata; Mammalia; Primates; Hominidae.